Molecule: ribosomal RNA, 275 nt
Filed under: uncultured bacterium
Lineage: Bacteria
Description: partial 16S ribosomal RNA
Rfam family: Bacterial small subunit ribosomal RNA
Source: RNAcentral
GCGUGAGUGAAGAAGGCCCUAGGGUUGUAAAACUCUUUCAGAUGUGAAGAUGAUGACGGUAACAUCAGAAGAAGCACCGGCUAACUUCGUGCCAGCAGCCGCGGUAAUACGAAGGGUGCUAGCGUUGUUCGGAAUUACUGGGCGUAAAGAGCACGUAGGCGGAUGGAUAAGUCAGAGGUGAAAGCCCCGAGCUCAACUUGGGAAAUGCCUUUGAGACUGUUCAUCUAGAGUCCGAGAGAGGUUAGUGGAAUUCCCAGUGUAGAGGUGAAAUUCGU